Long non-coding RNA from Cyprinus carpio (common carp), 1828 nucleotides. The record is from Ensembl. Lineage: Eukaryota; Metazoa; Chordata; Actinopteri; Cypriniformes; Cyprinidae.
AAAGGGUAUCAUAACUGGCUGCACAAUCUCCCCCAUCCUCUUUGUCAUGGGAAUGAACCUCCUAAUAACAGCUGUGGAGAAAGAAGCACGGGGUCCAAAAAUGGAGUCAGGCAUCCAACAACCCCCAAUAAGAGGUUACAUGGACGACCUUACCGUGACGACCACAACCCAUGUGGAGGCGAGGUGGGUGCUAACUGUUCCGGGCCACAUGGCAACGUGGGCCAGAAUGAAGAUUAAGCCAAAGAAAUCCAGGAGUUUGGUGAUCAGGAACGGGAAGUUGACCAACAGGUUCAAGAUGCAUGUGCAAGGGGAAGUGAUUCCAUCGAUAGAGGAGAAUCCAAUCAAGUGCCUCGGAAAGUGGUUCGAUGACUCACUUACUGACAGGAACAACAUAGCCAGUACGGAAAAGCAGAUGGAGGAAUGGCUGAGGAGGAUCGAAAAAUCAGGGCUCCCUGGGAAGUUUAAAGUUUGGCUCUAUCAACAUGGACUGUUGCCAAGACUCAUGUGGUUGCUGACUGUGUACGAGGUCCCAAUGACAUGCGUUGAAGGAGUGGAGAGGAAGAUCAAUAAGUACCUCCGAAAGUGGUUGGGAAUCCCUCCAAGCUUCACUUCAGUAGGCCUCUAUAUAAGAUCAGGGCAGCUCCAACUUCCUCUGUCAUCCGUAGUUGAGGAAUUCAAAGUUGCAAAGUGCAGAGUCGUAAUGACAUACAGAGACUCACAGGAUAAACAAGUUAGACAUGCAGGCGUCAUCACAAGAUCAGGUCACAAGUGGGCAGCUGAUUUGUCUGUUGCAAAAGCUGUGAGCAUGUUGAAGCUACGUGAUGUCAUUGGAGCGCCAUGCACAGGAAGACAGGGUCUUGGAACCUCACAUUUCCAACAGUGGAGGAAGGCAGGAACCAGUGAAAGAAGAGCCAUGAUUCAAGAGGAGGUACAGAACCUGGAAGAGGAAGGACGUAGAUCAAGGGCAGUGGACCUAGCUUCACCAGGGGCCUGGACCAGAUGGGAUCUUCCGAAGAGGAAGAUUACCUGGGCAGACCUAUGGAGACUGGAGCCGUUCUGCAUCUCCUUCCUGCUGAGGUCAGAAUAUGACACACUCACAACCCCAACAAACCUGCACAAGUCGGGUAUGAGAGAGGACCCAUUGUGCAGGCUCUGUGGGGAGAGGGGCACCAUGGCACACAUCCUGGCCGGGUGUAAAAAAGCGCUCACCCAGGGAAGGUACAGGUGGCGCCACGAUAGGGUGCUCAUGACACUUGCCAACACCUUAGAGCAGGAGAGGAAAAAGAAACGCCAACCACUUCGGAAAACAACUUCAAGUUUAUAAGGGAGGGGGAAAAGCCACCAACCACAGCAACAACAAGAACCAGCCUGCUACAAAAGGCCCAAUCAUGGGAAAUGAAGGUCGACCUGAGAGGAAGGCUGCAAUUCCCCCAAUUUGUCCAGACAACCCUGAGGCCAGAUGUGGUACUGUGGUCUGAAGAGGGAAAAAAGAUCAUCCUCAUAGAACUUAAAGUCCCAUGGGAAGAGGGGUGUGAACAGGUCUUUGAAAGAAAGAGCGCCAAAUACCAAGACCUGCUGCACGACUGUAAGGGGAAAGGAUGGCAGGCUUGGCUGUUCCCGGUCGAGGUCGGCUGUAGAGGAUUCCCUGCUCAGUCGGUGUGGAGAAUGCUCACCGCCAUUGGAAUAACAGGGAAGGAGAGGAAGGCAGCAGCUCGAAGGAUGGGGGAGGCAGCGAAAAGAGCCUCUUGCUGGUUAUGGAGCAGGAGGGAGGAGUUGAGCUGGAAGCCAGGAGGGGAAGAUGGGCAGUGACUUGGCCAUCACUGCCGAC